GAGUUUGAUCCUGGCUCAGGACGAACGCUGGCGGCGUGCCUAACACAUGCAAGUCGAACGGACGAGGAGGAGCUUGCUUCUCCAAGUCAGUGGCGGACGGGUGAGUAACGCGUGAGUAACCUGCCCUUCAGAGGGGGAUAACGUCUGGAAACGGACGCUAAUACCGCAUAAGCCCACGGCUCGGCAUCGACCAGAGGGAAAAGGAGCAAUCCGCUUUGAGAUGGCCUCGCGUCCGAUCAGCUAGUUGGUGAGGUAACGGCCCACCAAGGCGACGAUCGGUAGCCGGACUGAGAGGUUGAACGGCCACAUUGGGACUGAGACACGGCCCGGACUCCUACGGGAGGCAGCAGUGGGGGAUAUUGCACAAUGGGGGAAACCCUGAUGCAGCGACGCCGCGUGGAGGAAGAAGGUUUUCGGAUUGUAAACUCCUGUCGUUAGGGACGAUAAUGACGGUACCUAACAAGAAAGCACCGGCUAACUACGUGCCAGCCGCCGCGGUAAUAC
This 504-nucleotide ribosomal RNA is filed under the name uncultured bacterium. RNAcentral describes it as "bacterial SSU rRNA". It matches the Rfam family "Bacterial small subunit ribosomal RNA", at positions 9 to 526 of the family's 1533-position model. The record is from RNAcentral.